This 253-nucleotide ribosomal RNA is filed under the name uncultured bacterium. Its description in RNAcentral is "partial 16S ribosomal RNA". It matches the Rfam family "Bacterial small subunit ribosomal RNA", at positions 524 to 776 of the family's 1533-position model. The record is from RNAcentral.
UACAGAGACUGCAAGCGUUAUUCGGGUUCACUGGGCGUAAAGGGUGCGCAGGCGGCCAAGUGUGUUAGGCGUGAAAGCCCGGGGCUUAACCCCGGAAUUGCACCUAAAACUACAUGGCUAGAGCAUUGGAGAGGGUAGCGGAAUUCACGGUGUAGCAGUGAAAUGCGUAGAUAUCGUGAGGAACACCAGAGGCGAAGGCGGCUACCUGGACAAUUGCUGACGCUCAGGCACGAAAGCGUGGGGAGCAAAAGGG